AUUUGAGAUGUACGUUGAAGUACUUUUAUACUUAAGAUUUAUUUUGAAAUGUAUAUAGAUAAUGCCAAUGCUAAGAGUGUACUAAAGCUGAAGAACAGUACUCCAACUAUACUGACAAAGUCAAAAUGCUUAUCAGUGCUUCAUAUCAUAAACUUCAGGAAGGAAAGGAAGAUAUGGGAGACAGAAGAAGGAAAAGAAAAUAUUCAAAGUUAAUGACUGCAAAGACAGACCUUUGAAGAUUUAA
Molecule: long non-coding RNA, 244 nt
Filed under: Stegodyphus dumicola
Lineage: Eukaryota; Metazoa; Arthropoda; Arachnida; Araneae; Eresidae
Description: uncharacterized LOC118190821, transcript variant X1
Source: RNAcentral